Molecule: long non-coding RNA, 264 nt
Filed under: Hordeum vulgare
Lineage: Eukaryota; Viridiplantae; Streptophyta; Magnoliopsida; Poales; Poaceae
Description: long non-coding RNA (HVUL_LNC004043)
Source: RNAcentral
UAAACAACAGUUAAUAUUGGUGAGUACCUAAACGGGAGUGAACUGAAUAUAUGAACGUGGAGUUUCAUCAAUAUACAACUCGUUGCAUAGUGAGCUUCACUUAAGGUGCAUAAUUCAAUUGUUGUGACGUGUCAUGCCUUGCAUAAUUAAACCGGACAUGCAUCAUAUGUGUUUGUGCAUCAUGUCAUGUAUAUGUUGUGGUGAAUAUCGUUUGUUGAUUCUUGUUUCCGGAUUGCUUCUUCUCAAUAGAGUUCCGCAAGCAUG